CGAACGACUCUCGGCAACGGAUAUCUCGGCUCUCGCAUCGAUGAAGAACGUAGCGAAAUGCGAUACUUGGUGUGAAUUGCAGAAUCCCGUGAACCAUCGAGUUUUUGAACGCAAGUUGCGCCCCAAGCCUUCGGGCCGAGGGCACGCCUGCCUGGGCGUCACGC
Molecule: ribosomal RNA, 164 nt
Filed under: Romneya trichocalyx
Lineage: Eukaryota; Viridiplantae; Streptophyta; Magnoliopsida; Ranunculales; Papaveraceae
Description: 5.8S ribosomal RNA
Rfam family: 5.8S ribosomal RNA
About the family: 5.8S ribosomal RNA (5.8S rRNA) is a component of the large subunit of the eukaryotic ribosome. It is transcribed by RNA polymerase I as part of the 45S precursor that also contains 18S and 28S rRNA.
Source: RNAcentral